This 226-nucleotide long non-coding RNA is filed under the name Elaeis guineensis (African oil palm). RNAcentral describes it as "long non-coding RNA (EGUI_LNC044564)". Lineage: Eukaryota; Viridiplantae; Streptophyta; Magnoliopsida; Arecales; Arecaceae. The record is from RNAcentral.
AGCUUCAUCCGGACUCCUACGGGAGCCGGACUUCGCACCUAACUUUAAUUGCAGGGGACUCCGCCCGGACUCCUACGGGAGCCGGGCUCCGCCCACGACUUCAACUCCGAGAGGACUCCGCCCGGACUCCCACGGGAGCCGGGCUCCGCCCAUGACUCUGACCUCAAGGAGGACUCUGCCCGGACUCCUACGGGAGCUGGGCUCCGUCGCCAACUUCAACUGCCGG